RNAcentral lists this ribosomal RNA (253 nucleotides) under uncultured bacterium. Its description in RNAcentral is "partial 16S ribosomal RNA". It matches the Rfam family "Bacterial small subunit ribosomal RNA", at positions 524 to 776 of the family's 1533-position model. The record is from RNAcentral.
GACAGAGGUGCCGAGCGUUAGGCGGAAUCACUGGGCUUAAAGCGUGUGUAGGCGGGCGGGCAAGUACCUUGUGAAAUCCCACGGCUCAACCGUGGAAUGGCUGGGUAUACUGCCUGUCUUGAGCCAACUAGGGGCGAGCGGAACAGACGGUGGAGCGGUGAAAUGCGUAGAUAUCGUCUGGAACGCCAAAGGUGAAAACAGCUCGCUGGGGUUGUGCUGACGCUGAGACACGAAAGCCAGGGGAGCGAACGGG